GAUGAACGCUGGCGGCGUGCCUAAUACAUGCAAGUCGAGCGGACGGACGAGACGCUUGCUUCUCUGAUGUUAGCGGCGGACGGGUGAGUAACACGUGGAUCACCUACCUAUAAGACUGGGAUAACUUCGGGAAACCGGAGCUAAUCCCGGAUAAUAUUUUGAACCGCAUGGUCCAAAAGUGAAAGACGGUCUUGCUGUCACUUCUAGAUGGAUCCGCGCUGCAUUAGCUAGUUGGUAAGGUAACGGCUUACCAAGGCAACGAUGCGUAGCCGACCUGAGAGAGUGGUCGGCCACACUGGAACGUAGACACCGUCCAGACUCCUACGGGAGGCAGCAGUAGGGAAUCUUCCGCAGAGGUCGAAAGCCUUACGGAGCAACGCCGCGUGAGAGAUGAAGGUCCUCGGAUCGUAAAGCUCUGUUAUUAGUGAAGAACAUAUGUGUAAGGAACUGUGCACAUCUUGACGGUACCUAAUCAGAAAGCCACGGCUAACUACGUG
RNAcentral lists this ribosomal RNA (497 nucleotides) under uncultured bacterium. RNAcentral's name for it is "partial 16S ribosomal RNA". It matches the Rfam family "Bacterial small subunit ribosomal RNA", at positions 28 to 507 of the family's 1533-position model. The record is from RNAcentral.